Molecule: ribosomal RNA, 253 nt
Filed under: uncultured bacterium
Lineage: Bacteria
Description: partial 16S ribosomal RNA
Rfam family: Bacterial small subunit ribosomal RNA
Source: RNAcentral
UACAGAGGUCCCAAGCGUUGUUCGGAUUCACUGGGCGUAAAGGGCGCGUAGGCGGUCGGGUAAGUCUGAUGUGAAAUCUUCAAGCUUAACUUGGAAACUGCAUCGGAUACUAUUCGGCUAGAGGAAUGGAGGGGAGACUGGAAUACUUGGUGUAGCAGUGAAAUGCGUAGAUAUCAAGUGGAACACCGGUGGCGAAGGCGGCGUUCUGGACUGUUACUGACGCUGAGGAACGAAAGCCAGGGGAGCAAACGGG